This 253-nucleotide ribosomal RNA is filed under the name uncultured bacterium. Its description in RNAcentral is "partial 16S ribosomal RNA". It matches the Rfam family "Bacterial small subunit ribosomal RNA", at positions 524 to 776 of the family's 1533-position model. The record is from RNAcentral.
CACGUAGGAACCGAGCGUUAUCCGAAUUUACUGGGCGUAAAGCGCGUGUAGGUGGCACGAUAAGUUGGGUGUGAAAGCUCCUGGCUCAACUAGGAGAGGUCGCUCAAGACUGUCGAGCUUGAGAACGGUAGAGGGAGGUGGAAUUCCCGGUGUAGUGGUGAAAUGCGUAGAUAUCGGGAGGAACACCAGUGGCGAAGGCGGCCUCCUGGACCGUUUCUGACACUGAGACGCGAAAGCUAGGGGAGCGAACGGG